AUAUUAUUUUAAAAAAUUAAUAUUAAAUAAGUAAUAGAUAAAAUCUAAAAAGUUAAGAAAUUUGGCGGUAAAUUAAUUUAUUUAGAGGAACUUGUUAUAUAAUUGAUAACACACAAUUUACCUUACCUUAAAUUUGUAUCAUUAGUUUAUAUACCGCCGUUAUAUAGUAAAUGAAUAUUCUUAUAGGAUAAAAAUUUUCUUAAAUUCAUUUUAUUUAAAAUCAGGUUAAGGUGUAAUUUAUAUUAAGGGUUUAAAUGAGUUACAAUUUAAUUUAAAAAUACAGAAAUAAUUAUUUAAAUAUAAUUAAUAAGGUGGAUUUAAAAGUAAAUUAUCAUUAGAAUGGUUAAUUUAAUAAAACUCUAAUUUA
Molecule: ribosomal RNA, 367 nt
Filed under: Tanystylum sp. JA-2009
Lineage: Eukaryota; Metazoa; Arthropoda; Pycnogonida; Pantopoda; Tanystylidae
Description: partial 12S ribosomal RNA
Source: RNAcentral